UACGUAGGGUGCAAGCGUUGUCCGGAAUUAUUGGGCGUAAAGAGCUCGUAGGCGGUCUGUCGCGUCGGCUGUGAAAUCCCGAGGCUCAACCUCGGGUCUGCAGUGGGUACGGGCAGACUGGAGUGCGGUAGGGGAGAAUGGAAUUCCUGGUGUAGCGGUGGAAUGCGCAGAUAUCAGGAGGAACACCGGUGGCGAAGGCGACACGCUGGGCCGUACCUGACGCUAAAGCGCGACAGCAUGGGAGCAAACGGG
This 252-nucleotide ribosomal RNA is filed under the name uncultured bacterium. Its description in RNAcentral is "partial 16S ribosomal RNA". It matches the Rfam family "Bacterial small subunit ribosomal RNA", at positions 524 to 776 of the family's 1533-position model. The record is from RNAcentral.